GACGAACGCUGGCGGCGUGCUUAACACAUGCAAGUCGAACGGAAAGGCCCUGCUUUUGUGGGGUGCUCGAGUGGCGAACGGGUGAGUAACACGUGAGUAACCUGCCCUUGACUUUGGGAUAACUUCAGGAAACUGGGGCUAAUACCGGAUAGGAGCUCCUGCUGCAUGGUGUGGGUUGGAAAGUUUCGGCGGUUGGGGAUGGACUCGCGGCUUAUCAGCUUGUUGGUGGGGUAGUGGCUUACCAAGGCUUUGACGGGUAGCCGGCCUGAGAGGGUGACCGGCCACAUUGGGACUGAGAUACGGCCCAGAAUCCUACGGGAGGCAGCAGUGGGGAAUAUUGCACAAUGGGCGGAAGCCUGAUGCAGCAACGCCGCGUGCGGGAUGACGGCCUUCGGGUUGUAAACCGCUUUCGCAUGUGACGAAGCGUGAGUGACGGUAAUGGGUAAAGAAGCACCGGCUAACUACGUG
RNAcentral lists this ribosomal RNA (468 nucleotides) under uncultured bacterium. RNAcentral describes it as "partial 16S ribosomal RNA". It matches the Rfam family "Bacterial small subunit ribosomal RNA", at positions 28 to 507 of the family's 1533-position model. The record is from RNAcentral.